CCCCUAGAUGUUCUGGGCCGCACGCGCGCUACACUGACCAGUACAACAAGCAUCCGUCCUUGGCCGACAGGCUCGGGCAAUCUUUGAACGCUGGUCGUGAUGGGGAUAGACUUUUGCAAUUUUUGGUCUUCAACGAGGAAUUCCUAGUAAACGCAAGUCAUCAACUUGCAUUGAUUACGUCCCUGCCCUUUGUACACACCGCCCGUCGCACCUACCGAUUGAAUGGUCCGGUGAAGCCUCCGGAUUGGCGCGCACCUCGGUGCCGCCGAGAAGUUGGCUAAACCUUACCAUUUAGAGGAAGGUGAAGUCGUANCA
Molecule: ribosomal RNA, 315 nt
Filed under: uncultured eukaryote
Lineage: Eukaryota
Description: partial 18S ribosomal RNA
Rfam family: Eukaryotic small subunit ribosomal RNA
Source: RNAcentral